GCCUCGGUUAUUCUGAACGGCCCUGUCCACUUGGGCGACAGUUUAUUCUCCAUCUCGUACUGGUGGGCUUUCCUCAUCACCAGGUCGCCUUCUCUAAACUGUCUUGGCAUCACCUUCGAGUUGUAUCUUCGUUCGACCCUUCUCUUUACUGCUUCAGCCUUCAAUCUCGCCUCUUCCCUGACCUCAUCCAGUAGAUCCAGGUUCAGCCUUCUCUCUUCAUUCGAGUCUUCCUCUACAAAGUUCUGGAAUCUCGGCGAGCUCUCCUGGAUCUCUACUGGAAUCAUUGCAUCACACCCAUAGACCAAGC
This 307-nucleotide long non-coding RNA is filed under the name Phaseolus vulgaris (common bean). Its description in RNAcentral is "long non-coding RNA (PVUL_LNC004922)". The record is from RNAcentral. Lineage: Eukaryota; Viridiplantae; Streptophyta; Magnoliopsida; Fabales; Fabaceae.